UUCCGAUUUCUCUGGAGUUGUUCUGCAAAAAUGUGGAUUACUGUCAGCCCCUUUUAGGACAAACCGCGGUCACCUCUUUCCCGAAAAAUGUUCAUCCCGUUAGGAAUCUCCGAGGUGGAAACAGUAUGUUGCCAAAUAAAGGUUGAUUAUCAAGGUUUAAAGCGCCGAUUGCGAUGACGAUAACCUUCGGGCCUUGUUGGAUUUUAGAUUGGUGCCACCAAUUUAUUUCUUUUAGGUAUUGUUCAUACAGUAGGCCCAUGUUUGUGCGGGCCAGCAGAGGGAGCGUCUUGAAUUCAAAGAACUGAACGAUGUGAGAGCACGUGGACCACCGGGGCUUCUUGUUGGCGUGGCUGCUUUAGAGCGCCUCGUUGUCGGCGUGUGGAAAAGCCCCACGAUGACGCGGUGGGAUAUAUUCCAGCUAGCAAAAGUGUAAGAAAGUUGCUCGACAGUGGAGACAAUGACUUUUAAUUUUUUUAUUUUGUAUUUCCUUUUAUAUGCCAUUUUAUUUUUGCCAUCAUUCAAAGGUGGCAGGUUUUUAAACAAUACUCUUCUCUGUCCGUUUAAGCAUGCAGGAUGAAACCGCUAUCAAAAAAAAAAAAUAAAUAAAAAAGUUUCAUCGCAUGACUUCUCCAGAUUUUCUCUUUAAUUCUCCCUCCGAAAUGUGGAUUAAUGUCAGCUCCUUUUAGGACAAAAUGCUGUCAUCUCCCCAAAGCCUCCGAAAUGUUCAUCCCGUUAGGAAUCCUCAUCAUUUCCAAUCCGUCAUAAUUACGAGUAGAGCGUCGGAGGCUGUGCUCGCUGGAGCCACUGCGCCUCCUGCUGGAGAAGCUCUGCAUGUGUUUAACAUUCUGGAUCCCGUGUUGCCAUGGCAAAGGAGGGGGGGGGGGGGAAAAGCAACAACAAAAAAAUCUACGAAGAAAUAAUAAUAAUAAUAAUAAAUCACUUUCCAAUUAUGUAAAUAUGUAAAUAAUUCUAUAUGUGUCUUUCAUGAAACUCACUAUAAAUGACGGAACUAUAUAAAAAAAUUCAUGCAAAUUGAAUUGUUAUCAAAAUAAUUAAAGAUCAUGAAACAGGUUAUUAUUCAAUAAUGUUCAAGAUAAUUAUGAAAUGUUAUUAUUAGCUACGCUUUAUUUAAUUAGAUUCAAUAAAAUAAAAAAUACAUGAAAAUAUUCAAUGAAUUGUUUUAAGUUUUGAUCAUAUUUUUAAUUGUUUUUAUAGGAACAAAAAGGAUGCUGAAAUGUUCACAAUUUUUUUUCCGAAAUGCCGAUUCUAUUCCUGAUGAUAAAAGUUUUUGUCCCCCAAUGGCAAGCGUCCAUUUGGAGCUCCUCCUUCUUUGGCGAGCUCGCCGGCAUUUUUAAGAGUUUUUAACGUGCAUCGAACGAGCUCUCGAGCGAGCGCACUUGGAAGACGGCGUUAGAAGGACACGAUAUUUACGACUAUGAUAUUUUGAGGGGCGCUCAGACGAAAUGUCACCAAAUAAAAAAAAUAAAAUAAAAAUAAAAAAGUGUCUAAAAAGCCUUUUUA
Phyllopteryx taeniolatus (common seadragon) is the source of this 1521-nucleotide long non-coding RNA. RefSeq lists it as uncharacterized. The record is from RefSeq and is a predicted model, not a curated record. NCBI's taxonomy places the organism in Eukaryota, Metazoa, Chordata, Actinopteri, Syngnathiformes, Syngnathidae. The transcript is spliced from 2 exons.